GAAACCCUAAUAAGGAUACGACAAAAAAAAAAACGAAAUCUGAUCUUCUUCUUCGAUGCGGCCGUGAUGCGGGACUCCUGCGAUUCUUCAUUCGAUCUGAAACGGUUUAUUAAUGGCUGCAACGUAAAUCGAAUUGAUCAUCCCUCCACGAUUUGUCUUCAAUGAUUUGUGAAAAGCGGUGUCUGUAAUUCUAUAAAAGUCUUGAAGUCUGGUCGAUGCUUAUCCACCGUUCAAGUGCGGUUGCUCCGGUUCCGGUAGGCCAGAAACGUCAGAAAGCUGUGGGGGAAAUGAUGGGCGUGGAUAUGCUCUCACUGGACUCAAAGUCUACUGCUUUACACGCUAACUUCUGCAGUGCCUAACUGAGUAAGAGAACAGAACCUUCACUUUCCAACUGAAGCUCACUGAGUUCAACAUCACUUCGAAGCAUCAGUCAUUCACCAUCUCCCGCAUAUUUGAAAAGCAUCAGCGUCCACCACUACCAAGCUUCGCUGAACAAGAAGUAACAAUCAACCUGGUGAAGUCAUGCCACGAGCUGGAGCAGUGUCAAGUAAGCCAUCCGGUGAGAUACCGGUGAAGCCUCUAAGAACGCUGGUGCGAGUGAUCUUCUUGGGAUUGUUGAAGGAGGUGAUGCUGAUCCACCUAUCCAAUCUGAUGAAGCUGUUUUUGUUGACUCCACCACUACCAACGAACCACCCACGGAUGAUGUGCGUGAAGGGAAAAGGCCACGCAUAGCUUAGCUUCCUAAGUUGAGCAUGAGUUGAUGUUUCAGUCGUCAUCCUUGCCUCUAUAUUUUCUCUGUUUUUUACCAGUUUUAAUAUUUUAGUACUCAAGAGUUUCUUCUCAGGUGAAACCUGUUUUAUGUUUUGUCUUAGAUCCUACGUAUUAUUUUUCCUUACCAACUUGGUCCUAAACUGGUUUUUAUCUUUAUAAAAAAAAACUCUUUUUAGAA
This is a long non-coding RNA of Brassica oleracea var. oleracea, 949 nucleotides long. RefSeq lists it as uncharacterized. The record is from RefSeq and is a predicted model, not a curated record. Lineage: Eukaryota; Viridiplantae; Streptophyta; Magnoliopsida; Brassicales; Brassicaceae. The transcript has 4 exons.